RNAcentral lists this ribosomal RNA (253 nucleotides) under uncultured prokaryote. RNAcentral's name for it is "partial 16S ribosomal RNA". It matches the Rfam family "Bacterial small subunit ribosomal RNA", at positions 524 to 776 of the family's 1533-position model. The record is from RNAcentral.
UACGUAGGGUGCAAGCGUUAAUCGGGAUUACUGGGCGUAAAGCGUGCGCAGGCGGUUUUGUAAGUCUGUCGUGAAAUCCCUGGGCUCAACCUAGGAAUUGCGAUGGAGACUGCAAGGCUAGAAUCUGGCAGAGGGGGGUAGAAUUCCACGUGUAGCAGUGAAAUGCGUAGAGAUGUGGAGGAACACCGAUGGCGAAGGCAGCCUUCUGGGCCAACACUGACGCUCAUGCACGAAAGCGUGGGGAGCAAACAGG